RNAcentral lists this ribosomal RNA (467 nucleotides) under uncultured bacterium. RNAcentral's name for it is "partial 16S ribosomal RNA". It matches the Rfam family "Bacterial small subunit ribosomal RNA", at positions 29 to 507 of the family's 1533-position model. The record is from RNAcentral.
ACGCACGCUGGCGGCGUGCUUAACACAUGCAAGUCGAACGGAAAGGCCCUGCUUUUGUGGGGUGCUCGAGUGGCGAACGGGUGAGUAACACGUGAGUAACCUGCCCUUGACUUUGGGAUAACUUCAGGAAACUGGGGCUAAUACCGGAUAGGAGCUCCUGCUGCAUGGUGGGGGUUGGAAAGUUUCGGCGGUUGGGGAUGGACUCGCGGCUUAUCAGCUUGUUGGUGGGGUAGUGGCUUACCAAGGCUUUGACGGGUAGCCGGCCUGAGAGGGUGACCGGCCACAUUGGGACUGAGAUACGGCCCAGACUCCUACGGGAGGCAGCAGUGGGGAAUAUUGCACGAUGGGCGGAAGCCUGAUGCAGCAACGCCGCGUGCGGGAUGACGGCCUUCGGGUUGUAAACCGCUUUCGCCUGUGACGAAGCGUGAGUGACGGUAAUGGGUAAAGAAGCACCGGCUAACUACGUG